RNAcentral lists this ribosomal RNA (253 nucleotides) under uncultured prokaryote. RNAcentral describes it as "partial 16S ribosomal RNA". It matches the Rfam family "Bacterial small subunit ribosomal RNA", at positions 525 to 777 of the family's 1533-position model. The record is from RNAcentral.
ACGAAGGGGACUAGCGUUGUUAGGAAUUACUGGGCGUAAAGCGCACGUAGGCGGAUUUGUAAGUCAGGGGUGAAAUCCCGGGGCUCAACCUCGGAACUGCCUUUGAUACUGGGUGUCUUGAGUGUGAGAGAGGUAUGUGGAACUCCGAGUGUAGAGGUGAAAUUCGUAGAUAUUCGGAAGAACACCAGUGGCGAAGGCGACAUACUGGCUCAUUACUGACGCUGAGGCGCGAAAGCGUGGGGAGCAAACAGGA